Formica exsecta is the source of this 2941-nucleotide RNA transcript. RefSeq lists it as uncharacterized. The record is from RefSeq and is a predicted model, not a curated record. The transcript is spliced from 9 exons. Lineage: Eukaryota; Metazoa; Arthropoda; Insecta; Hymenoptera; Formicidae.
AAUGGUUAUUAAUAUGUAAUUUGUGAGAAACUUUUGCGGUAUAGUUUUACUGCUAAAAUAAUAAAAAUUAUAUAGCAAUGUUUGUGAUGUUUCACAUCAUAUUCUUUAGUUGCUAUUAUAAUUUUAUGUAGACAAAAUAUCUAUUUUGAUUUUUUUUGUCUGCAUAUGCAUCAUUUAGAAAAUUCAAUUAUAUGAAAAGUUAUGUGAAAGUUAUAUGAAAAAGUCAAUAUAAUCUAAUUAUAUUUUGGCUCAUAAAUAUGAUAUUAGUUCUUGUAUGUUUGAUGAAAUUUUUGGUUAACAUAUUUGAAGGAAGGAUGGAAUCAAUUUCCUAAAUUUUUCAUAUACCCUGAAAUUUUUAGAUUUAUUUUCAAAAAACCUUUUGUCCCUUUCUCUUAACCCUUAAAUGCGCAAUUUUUCGUAGCAUUUUAGUACACAGAACAUCAAAAAGUCGCUUUGCAUAUAUGCAAAGCUGCACAUUUAAGGGUCAAAACUUGUAUAUUGUUGUGUAUAAUGCAUUAUUUAUACUUGUUUUAUGGAUUGCUAUAAAAAAGAUACAAUUUUUGAUGGAGUGACAUUUCUGAACAUUUACCAUUACAUUUCAGUGUAACAUGGAGACAUUUUGCGGUAGACAAAAGGGAACCUUCAUUUAUAUACAUAAUGGAUAUACAUACAAUAUUGAUAAGCGGAUGAAAAACACAUAUCGAUGUUCAAGCCGCCGUUCAACAGGAUGUCCUGGCGUUGCAAAAGUAAUUGAUGGGCAAGUGCAUGUACAAACUCUACAUCAACAUCCACCAGAUACUAGAAGGUUGGAAAAGUCUAAAAUGCAAAGUGAAAUGUUACGUUUAUCAAGAGAAUCGCUUCUACCACUAAAAGAAAUUUUUGAUAAUGUUUGUCGAACAAAUCCAGAAGUAGCUGCAAAUAUAUCGUAUAGUUCUAUAAAAAGUGUAAUGGCUCGAGAAUGAACAAAGAUCUCCUAUAUCACAUACCUUUCAAGCCUUGGCUACUGAUUUAAUUAAAUACGAGUGGAUUAAAGAUUUUUAUAAAGGAAGUGUAGUUGCACAGGAUGGUAACAUGGCUGUUAUAUUUUCGAGUGAAAAACUUAUUAAUGCCUUGAAAACAACCACAGAAAUUUUUGUCGGUGGGACAUUUUCUGUUGUUCCUCGCAAUCCACACAUGAUUCAAUUAUAUACUGUUCACAUACGUUAUAAAAAUACAGGUAUUGCUGUUGUCUUUAUAUUAUGUGAGACACGAACAGUUGCUCUUUAUCAGGCAAUAUGGGAGAAAAUAAUUGAAAUUGCUCCAGAUUUGAAAAAUAAUGUCAGAUUUAUAAUGGGGGAUUAUGAACGCGCAACAAAUAAUGCCCUUCAUAAAUGUUUCCCCGAAACCAGUUUAAAAGGAUGCUGGUUUCACUACAACCAAGCUGUGUUGCGCAAGUGGCGACAACUUGGUUUAAAAAAUGCCCCAAGAAAAUUAAUAGCAAUGGUUAUGUCUGUACCAUUAAUACCAGUCACUUUAUUUGAGCAAUGUUUCACAAUAUUACAAUAUAUAGCUGAUACCAUGUCUAGUGACUAUCCUAUGGUAUUACAAUUUAUGUCCUAUUUACGUAAAACAUGAUUGCCCGCAGCAAAUAAGGUCUCUGUGUAUGGCUGUCCUGUUCGUACAAAUAAUAUAGUUGAGAGUUUUCACAACACAAUUUCAAAGAAAUUUGGGAGUAGACAUCCAAAUGUGUGGAUAUUUAUUGGAUGGUAUUUUAUCUUAUAACAGUAGUAUGUAAUACACAUAUAUUUAUUGAAAAUUUGAAAAAAGUAAUUAUUGAUCAGGCAAUUGAUCUUAGUCGCUUACAGAAUAAUCUUCAGGCACGUAGAACUCAAACUCGAGCCAAUAGAGAAAGAAAUAAUAUAAUAUUACAGAAACAAAAGGAUCUUGUAGAACAUAAGUAACGGAUCAGUUAUAAAAUAAAACUAAGCUUGUGAAAAAAAUUAUUUUCUAUAUAUAAUUGUGUGUUAAUGUUAAUAUCUAGAAAUAAAUAUUUAUUUUUUACAGAUUACCACUUAAUGAAUUUUUAGACUCAUUUAGUCGCUUUUAUGAAACCUACUUAUAUAAUAUGGACAUAAUCGAUGAAGAGAUUAUAACCCAUGAAAACAAUGAUUAUGAAGUUUGUACCAAUUUUCUAUCAGAAAAUUUUAAUUCUAUGUCGGAGGAAACUCUGAGAAUUGCUAGCUGUAACAUAAAUACAAACACUGCAGGAGAUUCACCUACAUUAACGCAAAGACAAGAUUCUGUUGAAAAUGAGCGAUUAUUCUCGCAAAUCCUAAGAAAUAGAUAUCCUGCUGCGCAAGAAGAACUAUUCAUCCGAAAAUGCAACUAGUACGGAUAUUAUAAUAGAUAUCGACGGUGCAGAAUUUACUUCAGCUAGUCCAGUCACAAUGGGUGAUGCACAUAAUCAAAAUACAAAUACCAUUCCCAAUUUACCACGAUUUGAUAACGAUGAAUUUGAUGAUGAACACAUUUAUACCAUUCCAGAAGAUGACUUUGGAUAUUGGUACGAAGAUCAGGAAAAUAUUGUAGAAAGUGACAUCCCGUAUCACGAAGUUAAAAGACUUUCUCUGGAAACAUGCAAAGAAAAUCAAGGAGCAGUAAGAUCUGAUCGUACGUGCACUGCUUGCAUUAAUGCUGAAUCGAAUCAAAUUUUCAUACCAUGCGGUCACAUCUGUUGUUGUGAAGAUUGUGCUAAUCAUAUUAUGCGAGAGAGCGAUAAUGUUAAAAAAUGUCCAAUUUGCAAAGGAGAAGUUUCGUCGGUCUAUAAAGUAUAUAUACCAUAAAUAAGUGUUUGCACCUUAUUCUAAAUAUAAGAAUGUUUAGGAUUGUGGUCUGCAACUUUUUUAAUACACAGUCUGAGACAUUUGUCGAUCAUACUUUGAAAGAUAACCGUUGAUUCGUU